UACGUAGGGUGCAAGCGUUAUCCGGAAUUAUUGGGCGUAAAGAGCUCGUAGGCGGUUUGUCGCGUCUGCUGUGAAAACUGGAGGCUCAACCUCCAGCCUGCAGUGGGUACGGGCAGACUAGAGUGCGGUUGGGGAGAUUGGAAUUCCUGGUGUAGCGGUGGAAUGCGCAGAUAUCAGGAGGAACACCGAUGGCGAAGGCAGAUCUCUGGGCCGUAACUGACGCUGAGGAGCGAAAGCAUGGGGAGCGAACAGG
RNAcentral lists this ribosomal RNA (253 nucleotides) under uncultured bacterium. RNAcentral's name for it is "partial 16S ribosomal RNA". It matches the Rfam family "Bacterial small subunit ribosomal RNA", at positions 524 to 776 of the family's 1533-position model. The record is from RNAcentral.